This 240-nucleotide ribosomal RNA is filed under the name uncultured bacterium. RNAcentral's name for it is "partial 16S ribosomal RNA". It matches the Rfam family "Bacterial small subunit ribosomal RNA", at positions 111 to 334 of the family's 1533-position model. The record is from RNAcentral.
UAACGCGUAAACAACCUGCCCUACGGAUGGGGACAACAGCUGGAAACGGCUGCUAAUACCGAAUACGUUCCGGAAGUCGCAUGACUAUCGGAAGAAAGGAUGGCCUCUAUUUAUAAGCUAUCGCCGGAGGAGGGGUUUGCGUCUGAUUAGCUAGUUGGAGGGGUAACGGCCCACCAAGGCGACGAUCAGUAGCCGGUCUGAGAGGAUGAACGGCCACAUUGGAACUGAGACACGGUCCAG